UGGGAGGGUGGUCUAGCUUGGUAUGAUUCCUGGUUUGGGACCAGGAUGGGGGGGGUUCAAAUCCCCCCUCUCCCAU
RNAcentral lists this transfer RNA (76 nucleotides) under subsurface metagenome. RNAcentral's name for it is "tRNA-Pro". It matches the Rfam family "tRNA". From Rfam's summary of the family: Transfer RNA (tRNA) molecules are approximately 80 nucleotides in length. The record is from RNAcentral.